GACGAACGCUGGCGGCGUGCUUAACACAUGCAAGUCGAACGGAAAGGCCCUUCUUUUUUUGGGUGCUCGAGUUGCGAACGGGUGAUUAACACGUGAGUAUCCUGCCCUUGACUUUGGGAUAACUUCCGGAAACUGGGGCUAAUACCGCAUAGGAGCUCCUUCUGCGUGGCGGGAGUUGGCAAGUUUCGGCGGUUGGGGAUGGACUCGCGGCUUAUCAGCUUGUUGGUGGGGUAGUGGCUUACCAAGGCUUUGACGGGUAGCCGGCCUGAGAGGGUGACCGGCCACAUUGGGACUGAGAUACGGCCCAGACUCCUACGGGAGGCAGCAGUGGGGAAUAUUGCACAAUGGGCGGAAGCCUGAUGCAGCAACGCCGCGUGCGGGAUGACGGCCUUCGGGUUGUAAACCGCUUUCGCCUGUGACGAAGCGUGAGUGACGGUAAUGGGUAAAGAAGCACCGGCUAACUACGUG
This 468-nucleotide ribosomal RNA is filed under the name uncultured bacterium. RNAcentral's name for it is "partial 16S ribosomal RNA". It matches the Rfam family "Bacterial small subunit ribosomal RNA", at positions 28 to 507 of the family's 1533-position model. The record is from RNAcentral.